Molecule: ribosomal RNA, 759 nt
Filed under: Escherichia coli
Lineage: Bacteria; Pseudomonadati; Pseudomonadota; Gammaproteobacteria; Enterobacterales; Enterobacteriaceae
Description: partial 23S ribosomal RNA
Rfam family: Bacterial large subunit ribosomal RNA
Source: RNAcentral
UGAAUAUGGGGGGACCAUCCUCCAAGGCUAAAUACUCCUGACUGACCGAUAGUGAACCAGUACCGUGAGGGAAAGGCGAAAAGAACCCCGGCGAGGGGAGUGAAAAAGAACCUGAAACCGUGUACGUACAAGCAGUGGGAGCCUCUUUUAUGGGGUGACUGCGUACCUUUUGUAUAAUGGGUCAGCGACUUAUAUUCUGUAGCAAGGUUAACCGAAUAGGGGAGCCGAAGGGAAACCGAGUCUUAACUGGGCGUUAAGUUGCAGGGUAUAGACCCGAAACCCGGUGAUCUAGCCAUGGGCAGGUUGAAGGUUGGGUAACACUAACUGGAGGACCGAACCGACUAAUGUUGAAAAAUUAGCGGAUGACUUGUGGCUGGGGGUGAAAGGCCAAUCAAACCGGGAGAUAGCUGGUUCUCCCCGAAAGCUAUUUAGGUAGCGCCUCGUGAAUUCAUCUCCGGGGGUAGAGCACUGUUUCGGCAAGGGGGUCAUCCCGACUUACCAACCCGAUGCAAACUGCGAAUACCGGAGAAUGUUAUCACGGGAGACACACGGCGGGUGCUAACGUCCGUCGUGAAGAGGGAAACAACCCAGACCGCCAGCUAAGGUCCCAAAGUCAUGGUUAAGUGGGAAACGAUGUGGGAAGGCCCAGACAGCCAGGAUGUUGGCUUAGAAGCAGCCAUCAUUUAAAGAAAGCGUAAUAGCUCACUGGUCGAGUCGGCCUGCGCGGAAGAUGUAACGGGGCUAAACCAUGCACCGAAG